This 550-nucleotide unclassified non-coding RNA is filed under the name Fusarium oxysporum. RNAcentral's name for it is "sequence contains ITS1, 5.8S rRNA gene and ITS2". The stretch from base 183 to 336 matches the Rfam family "5.8S ribosomal RNA". The record is from RNAcentral. Lineage: Eukaryota; Fungi; Ascomycota; Sordariomycetes; Hypocreales; Nectriaceae.
CCUUCCGUAGGUGAACCUGCGGAGGGAUCAUUACUCGASUUUACAACUCCCAAACCCCUGUGAACAUACCACUUGUUGCCUCGGCGGAUCAGCCCGCUCCCGGUAAAACGGGACGGCCCGCCAGAGGACCCCUAAACUCUGUUUCUAUAUGUAACUUCUGAGUAAAACCAUAAAUAAAUCAAAACUUUCAACAACGGAUCUCUUGGUUCUGGCAUCGAUGAAGAACGCAGCAAAAUGCGAUAAGUAAUGUGAAUUGCAGAAUUCAGUGAAUCAUCGAAUCUUUGAACGCACAUUGCGCCCGCCAGUAUUCUGGCGGGCAUGCCUGUUCGAGCGUCAUUUCAACCCUCAAGCACAGCUUGGUGUUGGGACUCGCGUUAAUUCGCGUUCCCCAAAUUGAUUGGCGGUCACGUCGAGCUUCCAUAGCGUAGUAGUAAAACCCUCGUUACUGGUAAUCGUCGCGGCCACGCCGUUAAACCCCAACUUCUGAAUGUUGACCUCGGAUCAGGUAGGAAUACCCGCUGAACUUAAGCAUAUCAAUAAGCGGAGGAAA